CUGUGAUUGGUUGCUGGAUGCUAUAAAAGCAACAUGGCACGGAGUUAGAAGUUGUUUUGGGAGAGAUCAUGAGGCGGAUGUGUGGCUCUCUGGUCGCUGAAUGCUUCAUUGUCCACAGCCGGUGUCUGCACCGACAGUGUGGAUGAGCUGUGGCCGAGCAGAGACCUCGUGGGUCGGUACAGUGCAUCCCAGAGUCCUGCUGUCCGGAAGUGGAUUGGUCUGGACCAGGACCUGUGUGACGUGACUGUCCCCAUAAGACUCAUUGGACUGACCAAAGGAGGCGCUCUGCUGAAGAUGAAGCUGUGAGGUCAUCAGAGCUCUGACAUCAGGAAGUGAGGAACUGCAGUGCACUGUGGGUGAUCUGAAUGAUGGAUGCUGGUGACGGCAGCGAGGAUGUUUUUAAUCAGACUGACAUUCUGACCUUCAAACCAUGAAUCUUUAAUUGUAUAAAUCAAACAGAUCAAUAACUGAACUGAAGCACGUCUCUUCCUGUGAGCAGACUGAAGACCUGCAGCUUUACACAUUAAAGAAACUAGUCAUCCGAGUAUUUUAAGCAGUUACAGGAUCAAAGUGAAAACUUGUUACACACUGACGUCUGUUUGUGUAAGCCUACAGUAUUUAAUACACAUACAGUUUGUAGUGGGCAGUGAACGUAAUUUCUAAUUUACUUUUUUCAGAAGUGGAAAAAUAAAAUUAGUUUAACUCCGUUUUGAAUAUUCAGCCUCUGUUUCAGUUCAGACUGUAACGUGUUUGUUUGUAAUGUAUUUAUUAAAGAACUGAACUGCC
Molecule: long non-coding RNA, 786 nt
Organism: Morone saxatilis (striped sea-bass)
Lineage: Eukaryota; Metazoa; Chordata; Actinopteri; Moronidae
Exons: 5
Source: RefSeq, a predicted model, not a curated record